RNAcentral lists this ribosomal RNA (379 nucleotides) under uncultured eukaryote. RNAcentral describes it as "partial 18S ribosomal RNA". It matches the Rfam family "Eukaryotic small subunit ribosomal RNA", at positions 592 to 976 of the family's 1831-position model. The record is from RNAcentral.
CAAUAGCGUAUAUUUAAGUUGUUGCAGUUAAAAAGCUCGUAGUUGGAUUUCGGAUGGGAUUUGCCGGUCCGUCGUUACGAUGUGCACUGGCCAGUCCUAUCUUGUUGUCGGGGACUAGCUCCUUGGAUUCACUUCCUGGGACUAGGAGCUGACGAGGUUACUUUGAGUAAAUUAGAGUGUUCAAAGCAAGCCUACGCUCUGAAUACAUUAGCAUGGAAUAACACGAUAGGACUCUGGCUUAUCUUGUUGGUCUGUGAGACCAGAGUAAUGAUUAAGAGGGACAGUCGGGGACAUUCGUAUUUCAUUGUCAGAGGUGAAAUUCUUGGAUUCAUGAAAGACGAACUUCUGCGAAAGCAUUUGUCAAGGAUGUUUUCAUUAA